RNAcentral lists this ribosomal RNA (462 nucleotides) under uncultured bacterium. Its description in RNAcentral is "partial 16S ribosomal RNA". It matches the Rfam family "Bacterial small subunit ribosomal RNA", at positions 28 to 507 of the family's 1533-position model. The record is from RNAcentral.
GACGAACGCUGGCGGCGUGCUUAACACAUGCAAGUCGAACGGAAAGGCCUUUUCGGAGGUACUCGAGUGGCGAACGGGUGAGUAACACGUGGGUGAUCUGCCCUGCACUCUGGGAUAAGCCUGGGAAACUGGGUCUAAUACCGGAUAGGACCGCACUUUAGUGUGUGUGGUGGAAAGUUUUUUCGGUGUAGGAUGAGCCCGCGGCCUAUCAGCUUGUUGGUGGGGUAAUGGCCUACCAAGGCGGCGACGGGUAGCCGGACUGAGAGGUUGGUCGGCCACAUUGGGACUGAGAUAGGGCCCGGACUCCUACGGGAGGAAGCGGUGGGGAUUAUUGAACAAUGGGCGCAAGCCUGUUGAAGCGAGGCGGCGUGGGGAUGACGGCCUUCGGGUUGUAAACUCCUUUCGCCAGGGACGAAGCGUUUUGUGACGGUACCUGGAGAAGAAGCACCGGCUAACUACGUG